Molecule: long non-coding RNA, 158 nt
Organism: Bactrocera latifrons
Lineage: Eukaryota; Metazoa; Arthropoda; Insecta; Diptera; Tephritidae
Exons: 3
Source: RefSeq, a predicted model, not a curated record
CAUCAACAGUACUUGGUGAAAUUUUGUAAUUGCACGUUGGAUUUGCUAUUUCCACCUGGACCUUAUACCAGCUGUCAAGCGAAGGACUUGUUGUGUUUGGCGCAGAAUAACGAUCGCUUUGUAUACUCUCGCCACGAGGAGGAGGAAUUAUAUGUGCG